AAUGAUUGACAACUGGGGCCUCAUAAAACUGAAAAGCUUCUGUCCAGCUAAGGAAACUAUCGAUCCAAUGAAGAGGACACCCAUAGAAUGGAAGAGAAUCUUUCCCAGCUGUACAUCUGAAAGAUGAAUAGUACCCAGGACAAUGGUUCUCAACUUGUGGGUCACGACCCCACAGCGGUCACAUACCAGAUAUCCUGUAUGUCAGAUAUUUACAUUAUGAUUUGUAACAGUAGUAGAAGUACAGCUAUGAAGUAGCAACAAAAUAAUUUUAUGGUUGGAUGUUACCACAACAUGAGGAACUCUAUUAAAAAAAGGGUCAUUGCAUUAGGAAGGUUGAAAACUGAUGAUCCAGAACAAAGAACUCAAAAAAUAGAGUCAAGGCAACAAAAGGCCAAGUUAAAAAUGGGCUAUGUAUCCAACAGAGAAUUCUCAAUAGAGGAAAUAAAAGUGACUAAGAAAGACUUUUAAAAAAUGUUCAUCAUCCAUAGCAAUUAGGGAAAUGCAAAUUAAAAUCUAGCCAGAAUGGAUAAAAUCAACAAAAUAGCUCACAACAACUACUGGAGACUUGGUGAAGAAAGAGAAACUCUCAUUCAUUGUUAGAAAGAAUGCAAAUUGGUGCAGCCACUCUGGAAAUCAGUAUGGAGAAUCCUCAAUAAACUAUCAACAAAAAAUUUAUUAUUUGAUCCAGCUAUAGCACUCAUUGGCAUACGCCCAGAGAACUCACCAUUCUACUCCACAGAUACUUGCUGAGCAUUAUUCAUUGAUGCCCUAUUCACAAUAGCCAGGAAACAGAAACAGCAUGAUGCUGUUCAGCAGAUGAAUGGAUAAUGAAAAUCUGAUCAAGAUGUAACCAGCACUUAUGUCUGCCUCCAUCAUGCUGUGCUCUCUGUCAUGAUGAUAAUGGACUGAACCUCUGAAACUUUCAGAUGCUGGCUACCCCUUCUGUGAGCUUCCAGGGAUUCUUGACUCUGCCUACCAUUUCUACGGGAGUAUUCAGAUAACAAAUGCCCACUAUUAUAUCCAGCUGUAUGUGGCCGUUUGGAGCACCUUCUCCCUGCCAGCAGCUAAAACCACCAUUCUCUGGUGGUCAUGAGCAGAAGCUUACGACCGACCAUGCCCUAGGAUCACAGGAGAAGUAAAGGGCGUGGGUGAGAAUUUGCCUGAAGUGGGGAAUCAGGUUUUCAGUGUGAUGAAUACAGGCUGACUCGAUCAUGUUAUUUCCUGGCAGCAGCAAGAUUCCAGGCUCCAGGAGGCUCUGGGAGCCCUUGCAGCUAAAGGAGCUUGUCUUCAUGGGAGCCCUUGCAGCUAAAGGAGCUUGUCUUCAUGGGAGCCCUUGCAGCUAAAGGAGCUUGUUGUCAUUGGACAAAUCCUGAUUUGCCAGACAAACAGGUAUCUUUUUGAAAGUUAGCCAAGAGGAAGGUUUCCAACAGUAUUUGAGUUUGGGCUACCCAACUCUACAGCUCUGAAGAGAAAUUUAUGUUCCCAAUUGAAUGGUUCAGUUGUUACAUUUUUUCCCCUUGGCUCCUAACUUACUCUUAGAUGUGUAUGCACAACCAUGCAAUACUUAUCAUUACAAAAGGGGACUGAAGGACUAGAUAUGGUGGUAUAUGCCUUGAAUAGCAGUACUCAGGGCAUGAAGACAAGAUUACCAUGAGAUGGAGGCCAAUCUAGACGACACAGAGAGUAGAAGGAAAACCUGAGGUGUAUAGCAAGACCUUGUCUCAACACUCACACUUUUAAAAAAGAAAAAACUGCGAAGUAGUGAAACUGAGUUAACAGCCUGAAAGCUGUCAGUCUAACAAAGGCAUUCUGUACCAUGUGCCCUCUGACAAAAUGCUUGUUUUAAAGUGUCCUGUCUAAAUGCACAGUAGGGCUCACGUAACCUCAGAGGGUCUAUUCCAAGGACUCCAGUGGAUGUGUGAAGCAGAGAGUGCUGGACCCUGAUUAUAAACAUUUUUCUGCAUGCCUUGAAAUGUUGCCAUAUAGUACAAGACUUGAUUGGUCCUUCUGGGUUUUGUGUCACUCAUUUGGAUCAAUACUUCUAUACAUUAUGAACAUAAUUAACUAAAGCAAUAAGCACAAAAACCAUGACACUAGGACAGGUGAUCUGAUCAUCGAAAUGGCCAAUAAGUGACAAAUGAGGGGGGUAGUAUAUGGAGUGUAGAUACAAUACAAAAAGUCAUGCUUUAUGUCAAGAGUGGGAUGCAGUGGGAUGAUAAGAUAUAUCACAUUACUCAGAAAGGCUUAUAAUAUGAGAUGAAUUAUUUGUUUCUGGACUUUUCCAUUUGAGUUUUUUUAAACACAGUUGACCUUAGGUAAUGGAAACACUGAAACCUCAGAAGGUAAAAUCAUAGGAAAAAGGCACUGCUAUGCUCUCUCUCUCUCUCUCUCUAUCUAUAUAUAUAUAUGGACUCUACACCCGGAGAAGUGGAGCUUGGAUCCCCGUUAUACUACUUAGUCAGUCAUUUCAAUGAUUUGCUAUUGAUAUCAUAAUCACCCUGUGCCUCUAUUUCUUUUCUGCAAAAUAGGAUUGUUUUAAGAGUUAAUCAGAUGUAAAUUGUUUAAGAUAAUGCCUGAUAAUGCAUUCACAAUGUAUAAAUGUUUGGGCUAAGAUGUUCCUGCCACUCCUAGACAGAGGCCCACUCCACUACAGAGAACCAGGCUCUUAUUGCUGAGUUGCCUAGAGGGGAAAACUUCUGGAUCUUUGUCAAACCCUGCCUCUCCCAUGCCUGGGUUAACAACCUGAGCAUCGAUGAGUUUCUUUGCCUUUUCCUUCUUCCACUAUUUUGUGGUUCUUGUAUCAUUGGCUAGACAUUACAUUGGACACUCAAGUCCUACCUAGAGUCCCACUGGUUUUCUGAUUAGACAUCUCACUAUUUGUUUUUCUUUCUCACAAUUUAGGAGACCGAACACAGGGCUUUGCAAAGGCUAGGCGAGUUCUCUGCCACGGAGCUACAAGUCUUCUCUUACUCUCACCAACUCUAGUUCAGAUUGUUGUCUACAGACACGAUGGCUUACCCUGCCUCUUCUCACAGAGGACAUAUGGCUCCAUGCCCUCUUUUCAGAUUCCCCUCCUCCCUCCUUCUUGUUCUGCUUUUGCUCUUUGUGAAAUGAGUUGAUAAUGUAGAAAUGAAAGAAAAAUGCUUUUCUUUUGAAAACUUCACCUCAGUUUCAUUAUUUUCUCUUGAUACUGAAUUCGCUCAAGUCCUUGACAUUUGGUGCCAGUGUCUCAGAUCAUCCAGUGAUUAGUGUUGACUCUUCUGCCUUUCAAAGUAUGAACUAAUAUUCCGUACCCAAUAGGCUCUACCACUACAUCCUAGGGAUCUAGACAAAGAAACCAACCACUUAUAUAUGAAGACUGAGCUUCUCUGUGUCAGUCUUUUGAUAAUUUAAUGUAACAAUCCUUCUUGAUUUGGGUGUUCAGAAGAGCCUAAACAAUGAUAUUUCCUAUUCUGGAGCCCUUGAGACUUUCUCUAGCGCUAAGUGCAGCUUGUCUAGGGCUUUCCCUGGUUCUCACCUUGGACAAAAAUGACAUAGUAGGGAUUCCUAGGCAAUUCAGACCGGGGGCUAGUCCAGGUUUCUGCCCUGUAUGCUCUUCUAUCAUCUGUGAGGAUGGACAUUUCAGGAUCUGAUUUUCCUCCACUAAGUGUUACUCAAAACACUGGACUCCUGAAGAAAAAGGUUUCACCAGCUGCCAGAGCAAAUAGAAUACCACCAUCCCUCAUGUGCUUUACCGCACUGGACUUCUUCCUGUGCCCAAGCACCAGUCAUGGCUUACUUAAGCGCUAAGAGUUCUGAUGGCUGCCAUGAUGCAGGCCCCAUGUUCUCCGGACUUCACACCUGCAUCAGUAGCCCUGAUACCCUUCAUACACCUGACCUGCUGCAUUCCUGUUUAGCAGCCUUGGUUCACCUGAACACUGUUACUUUGCUUUUCAUUUCAUAUUUGUCUCCUCAGAGACUAUAGAUUGGUUCUGACUGGGCACCUCAGCGUCCAGUGAGCCCAGACAAACCUUUUCAGUGAUCUCUGAACUCUCACCUUCAAACAUGCCCUUUUUGAGCACUUUUCUUCUGUCCUGAGAUACCUUUUAGGGAUCCCUGUUUGCAGGUGUAAUUGCUCCUUCAUGUUCUUAGGCAACAGUUCUCUAUUAAAUUUCCUGUUCGUGUUACUUUGUGUGACAAUUCAUUUCUUUUUGUUAACUUUGUAAUAAUUACUUGGUCAAACCAUUCUAAAUGUUCUAAGGAAGCGAUCUUUCAGACACGAUUGAUAUUUGAAUCAAGAGAAUUUGAGUUAAGCAGCAUAGCCUCCAUAGUUUGGAAGAGUUUCAUCCAGUCCAUCAAAGGCCUCAAGAAUACUAGAAUACUGACAUUCUAAAAUGAAGAAAUCAGUAUUUUCAACCUUCCUUCCUUCCUUCCUUCCUUCCUUCCUUCCUUCCUUCCUUCCUUCCUUCCUUCCUUCUUUCCUUCCUUCCUUCUUUCUUUUCUCUCUGUCUUCUGUGCCUGGGAUCAGUUCCAGAGACUUGAGCAUGCUGCCUGACCACUAAGCUACACACCAAAUUCCACUAUAUGCCAUCUCUCUGCUGUAUGAGCUCAGAUUGAUAUACUAUGAGCACAUCAGAAAUAUACACGUGAGGCUUUCUUGUGGUUUCCCAGCCAUCCUUUUUAUGAAUGUCACUAAUAGAAGAGUGGGGAAGUGUCACAGGAUCACAUCAUUCUUCUCUCUGCCUCUGCUCAAGCUUCCCAUCACUUUUCCAUUUCCUAUCUUCUAUUCCAGUCCCAACCAUCCUUCAAGGUCCCUGUUUAAAUUUCUUUCUUCCUGAAAUCUUGCCUUUGUAGCCUCCAGCAAUCUCUGUCUUCUCACAAAGCAUGCCUGUGUCUCAUAACUCAGUGCUGAAUUAUGUAGGCUCUGUGUGAAUCUUCUUCCACGAAAAAAAAAUGGCGUGGAGCUCUUAUUGUGCACAAGGAUUCUGCUAUGUACUUUGUUUUUCAUGGUGAAUUUGAAGUAGGAAAAAAUGAUGCUGAUAGUGCUAACAAUAAUUUCCUGAGUAUGAACUAUUUGCCAGCCAUUUCUACACCAUCUUGUUUAAUUCUGUGACUUGGUAAAUACUCUCCAUAUUUUAUGUAUGAGGAAAAUGAAACACAAUGCCUUGUCUGUGGGCAUGAAGUCGAAAGGAUCCCCAGUAGAGGGAAAAUUCAACUCAAGUCAGCCUGAUGUUCCCUUUUCAGGAGGUCUGAACACAACAGAAAUGUUGUGAGAAGUUUGUUGAAAUGGACCAGUUGAGGAGGCAGAAUUAAACUUUUAGUUUUAAUUAUUAAUGACUGUGGUAAAAAUAGAUAUUACAUAGAAUUUACCACUUUAAAAUUUUGAGUGAUGCUAUCGUCAUCAUUCUUCCUAGGAAAUACUCUUCAUCCCCACAAGCUGAAGCUCCAAGUCGCCGUUAUUGAGUCCCCAUUUCUCACCCCAGCUCCUGGCAGCCACCUUUGUAUUUCCUCUCUCCGUGACCUUGACCACUUGAGCAUCUUAUGGAAGGGCAGCCUGCAAUAUUUGAACUUUUGUGACUAGCUUAUUUCACUUAGCAUAAUGUCUUUAAGGUUCAUCCAUGUUACAGAAUGUGUUAGAAGUUCCUUUCUUUUAAGAAAAUGUGAUAGGCGCUAUAUAGGUGGCUUGGCAGUAAACAUCACAUAUUGUUCUUUCAGAGGACCCACGUUUGGUUCUCAGCACCCAUGUUAAGUGGCUCCCAACUGACUGAAACUAUAGCUCCAAGAGAAUCCAAUAUUCUCUUCUGGCUUUCUGAACUCAUGUACAUACAUGCUUACACAUAGACACACAUACACUUACAAAUAAUUAAAAGGAAGAUAAAUAUGUUAAAAAUGUAAUAAUAUUCUACUGAAUAUAUAUGUCACAUCUAUCUAUCUAUCUAUCUAUCUAUCUAUCUAUCUAUCUAUCUUCUAUUUAUUUUACCUAUCAGUCUGUCAAUAUAUACUUAAGUUGUUUCUACCUCUUGAUAAUUAAGAAUAAUGCUGCCUUGUACAUAUAUGUACAAGCAACUGUCCAAGCCCCUGAUUUUAUUUCUUAGGCUAUAAUCCCCAAAGUGGAAUGGCUGGGUCAUUUGGCAAUUCUAUGUUUUAUUGUUGAAGAACUGCCAUACUUUUCCCAUAGUCAUUAUAUCACAUACCAUUGCCACUAGCAGGGUACAAAGGUCCCAAUUUCUCCUUAUCCUUUCCAAUACUCAAUACUUGCUAUUUCUUAGUUUUUAAAUAAUUGCUAUUCUAAUGAGUAUGGAAUUAUCUAUUGAUCUGUUAUUUAUUUUUAUCACUCUAAUUAUUAGAGAUGAGACACCGAGUGCUUUCCCCCAUGCUUGUGGGCAAUUUGUGCAUCUUUGGAGAAAUUGCUACUAAAAUUCUUUGAUCAUUUUUUAAAAAUUAAAUUUUUAUCAAUUAAUUUUAAUAAACAUGUGCCACAUAUAAGGUAUUACUAUGAAAAUAUGUAUUUAUUGUAAAGUGGCUGCAAACAUACACACACACACACACACACACACACACACACACACACACACACAUACGCGUACACAAACACUGUGGUGAUUUGAGUAAGUAUGGCCCCCAUAGACUCUUUGAUAGUGUUUUCACUGUUUGAAUGCUUGGCCAUAGGGAGUGGCACUGUUAGGAGGUGUGGCCUUGUUGGAGUAGGUGUGGCCUCAUUGGAGGAAGUGUAUAACUGUGUGGGUGGGCUUUGAGAUCUGAUAUGGUUAAGCUAUACCCAGUAGGACACAGUUGCUUCUGAUGCCUACAUAACAAGAUGUAGAACUCUCAGCUCCUUCUCCAGUACUAUGUCUGCCUAUAUACCACUGUGAAGAUAAUGGACAAAACCUCUGAAACUGUAAGCCAGCCCCAAUUAAAUGUUUUCCUUUAUAAAAGUUGCUAUGGUCAGGGUCUUUUCACAGCAAUAGAAACCCUAACUAAGAUACACACACACACACACACACACACACACACACACACACACACACACACCACUUUCUGUGAAAAGAAUAUUUAAACUCUAUUAUCAGUGAUUUUUAUUAAUCAUCUCUUCUGAAACAUUCUCCAUUAUAACUCUAUGUUUGGGCCCUUUACAACUACCAUAUAAUUAAAUAUUCUCUUUUUUUCCUCUGAGGCCUCAAAUGAGAUUAGCAAAUUGGAAGUAUGGUUUAUUGUUCUCAAGUAAGAAAUCAUAAGAUUAGGGUACCCCCUUAUCGAAAGAUAGACACAUAUAACAAUAUAAACAAGGCAAGAGAAAAUAAUUCAUGCUAAAUUCCUAUGGGAAAUCUUAGUGCAUCUGAAAAUUAUAGUGGUCUGCUUAUUGAUUCAGUAUCUUUAGUAAAUGACAGAGAAUCCUUUCACAGAUAUCUCAGGAGAUCUUAUCUGUGACUUACAGUGAAGCCCCUGUAGGGAGGUUAGAAAAAGGAUCAGAGUACCUGUCUAUCUUUACAGUGGUUGUUUGGUCAUGGCCAAAGUCCUGGCUAGGAAUUUCUACCCAAUUCUUUUGUCUAAUCAAGAAGUCACCUAAGUGACUCAGACACUAUCAAUUAUGAAAUUUUACUAGCCCAGUGAUUAAAAAUAGUGCAGAUGGUGAAAAAUUAAUUCUUUGGCCCAGAACCUUCUUCCUGAAAUAUUUGUUCUAAUACUCCUUAAUGAUUUUGACAACAUUAUAAAGGAAUAUUAUGAGCACCACAUUAACUGUGUUCUACAAACAAAGAAACAGGCCAGUGGAGUUAAAUCAUUUGGCCAAGGAAAUGCUGCUAAUAGAUGGAAAAAUCAGGAUGUGAACCAAAAUUUACUCAACCACUGUCUCCAUGAAAUGAGAUUUCUUUUAUGAAUGCCUUGCACAGCAAAUGUCACAUUCACAUGAACCCUAGAGGCCAGAGAUGGCAUUGUCCUGACCUCUUAGCUGAGAGCACAGGUUACAUAAGCUCCUUAGGGACCCAUGGCAGAGCUGGGGCUUGUAGCUCAGUCUUGACAACCUAUCAUUACUGGCUGCCUUAAUCUCUUGUUAGACAACCUGCUUCUUCUGGGUCUUGUGGAUUCACAUGUCCAUAGGCCCAUCUGAGUAGGAUUGUGCUGCUCUCCCUACACUGGCGCUAGGGCAGUGCUAGGUCCUGAGGAAAUGCUCCGUUAGCAGUCGAUGAACUGCGAAGGAGACUAUACUCAAAGGAACCAGCAUGCAUGUUUCUUAUGAAUAAGUACCUGGCUUCUUACUGUGUUACUUGGCAAUAGUGUUUGUCACUCAUUACGGAAGUAUAUAGGUUUAAUUCUGUUAAUUUCACCUCUCCCUGAAGUUGGGUGAAGGGUACUUCUAGUAGUGCUGCCUCAUUUUAAUACUUAGGUCUCCACUAAGAUGGAAGCCUAGCCUUGUAGGGCAUUCUGCUUAGGGCAGAUUGUUGAGGAUGGGAGACUUCAGAAUUUGUGAAGACGUGGCAAGGGUGUUCCAAUCACUGUGGGUAGACCAAGGCUUUGGGAUAUGUUAGAGAUUUAGUGUGUAUUCUGUUCAACAUUUGCACAGAAGCAGAAGAAUUGACUGGUUCUAAUUUUCCCUUCAAUGAAAAGCAUGUUGAACCCCAGAACUAAGUGAUAUUUUCUUACAAAAUAUUUUUUAAUUCUAUGAGUUAUACUUUUAUCCUACUAGCAAAAAAAAAUUAAAAGAAAAAAAUCAGGAUUUCUGUGGCUGGUAUCUGGGGGAUAUAUAGUUUAGGAUGGAAAAAAAUGUGAUCUGGUGAAAAUACUAUCAAACAUAUUAGCAAUAAGAAGAGUUAUUACUUAAUUUUCUACCUAUUUUCUCUCAAGAAUUUUACUACUUUACAUAUGUGGACUUAGAUUGUCCCAAUACCUUUAGGACUCCAUAGUCACCUUUUAUCUCAAUCUGAAUUAUGUAAAUUUGGAACAGUAUUAUGUAAAUAUCAGGCAUAAUAAUUAGAAAUUAGAAAUAAGGUAAAUAAAUAUUCACAAAUUAGUUUUUAAAAAAUCAAGAAACUUACAACACGGGCUACAAGAACUUUGCUCACUCUGUAGCCUCAGAUAUUAUAACUUUAGUUAUUUUAACUGAAGUCCCUGCUAUUCUUUGUGAAAAUUAGCCUCAAUUUUUUUUUUCAGCACUAAGGAUUGUGUGCCACGCAUAAAAUGCUAUCAUCUCAUGGAACAUCAGAAGGCAUGGGUAGGGCACUCCUUCUACAAGAGGGUAAUAGAUAAAUGAUCACUUGGUGGAUGUGCACAGCGUAAAAGGAAGGGUGGCCAGGAGAAAGCUGACCAGUCAUUUACUUUUGGCAAGUGUGCUCAUUUGCUCUCCUUUCAUUGCUUCACAGCUUCAGGACAAGGUCUCUACUUCCAGCUGAGGUCACAUGAUACCUCAUGAUGUCCGAGUGAAUACAUCUGAGAGCUGUUAAUUUUAUCUUCUGAUUCUUGCUCUUGGAUUCUCUCCUUUCCUCUGUGCUUCCCUCCAUCUUUCCUAUCUUUUAAGAAACAUCAUAGACAUAUAUAUAUAUAUAUACACAGACACACGGACACAGACACAGACACAGACACAGAC
Long non-coding RNA from Peromyscus californicus insignis, 9559 nucleotides. RefSeq lists it as uncharacterized. Lineage: Eukaryota; Metazoa; Chordata; Mammalia; Rodentia; Cricetidae. The transcript has 5 exons. The record is from RefSeq and is a predicted model, not a curated record.